UAUAUAUAUAAAUUAAUUAUUAUUAUAUUAUUUAUUAUUAUCUUUUAAUAAAAAUAAUUUUAUGUUAUAGUAUUUUUUAUAGAAUUAAUAAUUUAUUAUUUAUAGUUUAUUUUACUGUGAAGUAUUUUUGAUUUUAUAGUUAAAGUAGAAUUUGAUUUUUGUACCUUUUGUAUCAGGGUUUAUUAAAUAAUCCCAUAUAUAUAUGGUUAUCCCGAAAUUAUAAGUGCUAUUUUCUUUUGCUUCAUAUUAUUGCAUAAAUAAUUGUAAAUUGAUUAUAGGAGUUAUAUGCUAUUCAUUUAUAAAUAUCUGGUUUCUUAAGAAUUAAAUUUAAUUUAGGAUUUAUUUUUAAUUAGUUAAAUUAAAUUAUAUUUAAUUCAAAUAUUUCUAACAUUUAAGGGGAUAAGCUCUUUUUUGUUUUUAUAACAUUUUAUUGUUUAUUAUUGUAUUAGUUUUGUAGGUUUGGAAACGGUCAUCAUUUAUUUCGUUAUAGUUUAUCUAAUUCUGGUUUUUAUUUAUUUAGUGUUUAAAUUUUUAUUAAGAUUCUGAUUUGAAUUAUUUAUUUCAGUUAAUAAUGAUAAAAUUAGUAAUUUUGUUAUUUUUAAUAUAGGAACUCGGCAAAUUUAGUAUUCACCUGUUUAUCAAAAACAUGUCCUAUUGUUAAUUAUUUUAUUUUAGGUCUGUCCUGCCCUAUGAGUUUAUAUCUUGAAUGGCCGCGGUAAUUUGACCGUGCGAAGGUAGCAUAAUCAUUUGUCUAUUAAUUGUAGGCUUGUAUGAAUGGUUUAAUGUAAUAUUAUCUUUCUUUGUUUUAUAAUUGUGAACUUAAUAUUUUAGUGAAAAAGCUUAAAUUUAUUUGGAGGACGAGAAGACCCUAUAGAAUUUUAUUUACUGGUUUUUAAUCAUUUUUGGUAAAUCAAUAUAUGGUUUAAUAUUUAGUAAAUUUUGUUGGGGCGACAUGGAAAUUUUUUUAACUUUCUGUAUUAAUAUUGUUAUUGAUUUAUAUAUUAAAGAUCCUUUAUUAUGGAUUAUUAGAUUAAAUUACCUUAGGGAUAACAGCGUAAUUUUUAUGGAGAGUUCUUAUCGAUAUAAGAGUUUGCGACCUCGAUGUUGGAUUAAACUUAGGUUUAGGUGCAGAAGCUUAAAUAUCUAGGUCUGUUCGACCUUUAAUUGUUUACAUGAUCUGAGUUCAGACCGGCGUGAGCCAGGUUGGUUUCUAUCCUCAAUUGUUAAUUAUAUGUUCUAGUACGAAAGGACCGAUACAUAUUAAAUAAUUUAUUUUUUAUGAAUUUUAUUAAAU
RNAcentral lists this ribosomal RNA (1294 nucleotides) under Cyclopelta parva. RNAcentral describes it as "16S ribosomal RNA". The stretch from base 851 to 1220 matches the Rfam family "Archaeal large subunit ribosomal RNA", at positions 2150 to 2716 of the family's 2987-position model. The record is from RNAcentral. Lineage: Eukaryota; Metazoa; Arthropoda; Insecta; Hemiptera; Dinidoridae.